Molecule: long non-coding RNA, 405 nt
Filed under: Mytilus galloprovincialis (Mediterranean mussel)
Lineage: Eukaryota; Metazoa; Mollusca; Bivalvia; Mytilida; Mytilidae
Source: RNAcentral
GCCUGCCAAUUGAUAUUUUAUCGUGUGUUUUUAUAUAUUGUGAUGUUAUGAUAUUGUUUCAGAAAAAGGGAGAAGGUUUUGUACCAUUAAAACGUUUAAUCCCGCUGCAAAUGUUUGCACCUGUCCUAAGUCAGGAAUCUGAUGUACAGUAGUUGUCGUUUGUUUAUGUAAUUUAUACGUGUUUCUCGUUUCUCGUUUUUUUAUAUAGAUUAGACCGUUGGUUUUCCCGUUUGCAUGGUUUUACACUAGUAAUUUUGGAGCCCUUUAUAGCUUGUUGUUCGGUGUGAGCCAAGGCUCCGGGUUGGAGGCCGUACAUUGACCUAUAAUGGUUUACUUUUUUAAAUUGUUAUUUGGAUGGAGAGUUGUCUCAUUGGCACUCACUUCACAUCUUCCUAUAUUUAUAUA